CCUCCUAGAGUGCUAGGAUUACGGCGUGAGCCACCAUGCUGGCCUUACACAGAUUUUAAGCUGUUUAUUCUCUACCGUCCCCAUUAGUUAAACAUCCAUCGAGCAUUAAUUCAGCACCUACUCUUAUUAAUGGAAAGGGGAAGGAUUACAUAUGUAAUCCAUUAGAGUAUUACAAAACAACAAAGCCCAGCUUAUAUUUAGCUAUGGAAUACACAAUACUGUUCAGGUAGCAUUGACUUUUGUAGCUGUUUUGUUUAUGUUAAUUUUCUAACUUGCAUUCCCUGAGCUCUUAUUAAGCAGUCAAGGUUGGCAGAUUAGGAAAGUAUCAUGUGAAACUACACUAGAAUUAACAAGGCUGAAGGAGAACCCAGGGUGAAGUCAGAUUGCUACCAUUUUUGACCCUGUCACUAGUAAUGAAACCUUGCAAAACCUCAAUUUCAUCAUCUACAAAAUGGGGAUAAUCAGCACGUAUCAUUGCUUUCCCACAGGGCGGUGAGGACAUGCAGGAUGAUAUAAGGAAAUAUCUCAUUGUGAGGACUCUGCAUGAGGUCACAUUGGCAAAGCACCAACACAGGGUCUGGCACAAAGCAGACACGCAGCAAACACUGGCUCCCCUCCCCUUCUCCCCACCUCAGCUCCUGGACAACUCUGUCCGGGCUAAGAGCUUGGAAGCAUGAGGACCCAAGGACUGCUGGCUUGAUACUGGUUGUCUCGUGCAUGUUAUCUUUUCUCUCACUCCUUUCUGCAAAAGGCAAACAGGAAUGAAAUGAUAACAGGCACAUCCACUGAAGCAAAACAGGUCACAGGAAGAAGAUAAUACACUCAAGGACAAAUAAAAAGUUGACUGUAGCUGGGCCCAGAACCGGUUGCCUGUACAAAGUGAGAAUUCCCUGAGAUAUAGAGGAAAGCUUUUGAAAAGCCAAUACUGAUGCAAGAAGAUACUUCAAUUCUCAACCUGUAUGGAAAAACCAACACUCUACUCAGAUCUCCCACACCAGGAAGGUGCCAUGCUCCCACCGGAUGCUCAGUGGAAGUAACUGACAAA
This is a non-coding RNA of Microcebus murinus (gray mouse lemur), 1045 nucleotides long. The record is from RefSeq and is a predicted model, not a curated record. Lineage: Eukaryota; Metazoa; Chordata; Mammalia; Primates; Cheirogaleidae.